This 446-nucleotide ribosomal RNA is filed under the name uncultured bacterium. RNAcentral's name for it is "SSU rRNA". It matches the Rfam family "Bacterial small subunit ribosomal RNA", at positions 26 to 518 of the family's 1533-position model. The record is from RNAcentral.
AGAACGAACGCUGGCGGCAUGCCUAACACAUGCAAGUCGAACGCGUGUAGCGAUACACGAGUGGCGGACGGGUGAGUAACGCGUGGGAACCUGCCCUGGAGUGUGGGAUAACCGAGGGAAACUUCGGCUAAUACCGCAUACGACCUGAGGGUGAAAGAUUUAUCGCUCUAGGAGGGGCCCGCGUCGGAUUAGCUAGUUGGUGGGGUAAAGGCCUACCAAGGCAGUGAUCCGUAGCUGGUCUGAGAGGAUGAUCAGCCACACUGGGACUGAGACACGGCCCAGACUCCUACGGGAGGCAGCAGUGGGGAAUAUUGGACAAUGGGGGCAACCCGUGAUCCAGCAAUGCCGCGUGAGUGAUGAAGGCCUUAGGGUUGUAAAGCUCUUCGCGCGCGACGAUGAUGACGGUAGCGCGAGAAGAGCCCGGCUAACUUCGUGCCAGCAGCCGC